UACGUAGGGACCAAGCGUUGUUCGGAUUUACUAGGCGUAAAGGGCGCGUAGGCGGCAAUUCAAGUCAGCUGUGAAAUCUCCGGGCUUAACUCGGAACGGUCAGCUGAUACUGCUUUGCUAGAGUGCAGAAGGGGCAAUCGGAAUUCUUGGUGUAGCGGUGAAAUGCGUAGAUAUCAAGAGGAACACCUGAGGUGAAGACGGGUUGCCGGGCUGACACUGACGCUGAGGCGCGAAAGCUAGGGUAGCAAACGGG
RNAcentral lists this ribosomal RNA (253 nucleotides) under uncultured bacterium. RNAcentral describes it as "partial 16S ribosomal RNA". It matches the Rfam family "Bacterial small subunit ribosomal RNA", at positions 524 to 776 of the family's 1533-position model. The record is from RNAcentral.